CCUAAGUGUGUUACUUACUCCCUUCAGCCUUUUGUGUGUCUCUUACUUCACUCAGCCACUUUGUGUGCAUCUUUCUUGCUCAGCUCCUUUGUGUGCAUCUUGCUCCCUUUCCUCAGCGUCUCUGGGUAUCUUUUCUUAUCUCCCAGUCCCUUUGUUUGUCUCUUUCUCCCCUUCCCUCUGUGUGCUUCUUCCAUCCAACCCCUUUUGUGUAUC
This is a non-coding RNA of Pelobates cultripes (western spadefoot toad), 213 nucleotides long. NCBI's taxonomy places the organism in Eukaryota, Metazoa, Chordata, Amphibia, Anura, Pelobatidae. The record is from the annotation of a GenBank genome assembly.